This 253-nucleotide ribosomal RNA is filed under the name uncultured bacterium. RNAcentral's name for it is "partial 16S ribosomal RNA". It matches the Rfam family "Bacterial small subunit ribosomal RNA", at positions 524 to 776 of the family's 1533-position model. The record is from RNAcentral.
UACAGAGGGUGCAAGCGUUAAUCGGAAUUACUGGGCGUAAAGGGUGCGUAGGUGGUUUGAUAAGUUAUCUGUGAAAUUCCUGGGCUUAACCUGGGCUGGUCAGAUAAGACUGUUAGACUCGAGUAUGGGAGAGGGUAGUGGAAUUUCCGGUGUAGCGGUGAAAUGCGUAGAGAUCGGAAGGAACACCAGUGGCGAAGGCGGCUACCUGGCCCAAUACUGACGCUGAGAUGCGAAAGCGUGGGGAGCAAACAGG